RNAcentral lists this non-coding RNA (26 nucleotides) under Homo sapiens (human). The record is from RNAcentral. Lineage: Eukaryota; Metazoa; Chordata; Mammalia; Primates; Hominidae.
UAAGUACCUGUUUCGUCUAUGUGGGC